This is a non-coding RNA of Arachis ipaensis, 196 nucleotides long. The record is from RefSeq and is a predicted model, not a curated record. NCBI's taxonomy places the organism in Eukaryota, Viridiplantae, Streptophyta, Magnoliopsida, Fabales, Fabaceae.
AUCAAUUAUAUGUCAAUUCCAGCACCAGCAUCUGCUGCAGCAGCAUGUGAUGUAUAACACUCCCUCAAUCUUUGAUAUCCACCAAUGCAUUCACAUAACUCCUCAUCAUUCCCUCACCUAAAUGCACUUAGAAUUGUCAUUCAGCAACUAUCAUCAUAUUUAUUAAUCAAUCUUUAAGUACAAAAAUAAAUGCCAU